RNAcentral lists this antisense RNA (75 nucleotides) under Actinobacteria bacterium OK074. RNAcentral describes it as "ASpks TB sRNA". It matches the Rfam family "ASpks TB sRNA". The record is from Rfam by way of RNAcentral. Lineage: Bacteria; Bacillati; Actinomycetota; Actinomycetes.
CUUCAGCGAGCCGAGCCGCAGCGGCCGUUCGCCGUCGCGUUCCCGGCCGUAGGAGGCGAGGAGCGCCUGGGCCUC